UCACAACAUCUGCAUGGUGUCUCUGGAAAGAGCAAAAUUUCAGAGUUUCCGAUCUCAAGCUGUCAUACCUCCUGUAGCGAUAACACAACUCUCUCAGGUUAGAAGCCUUCUGCUGUAUCAAUAGACCAUGUACGGCAAUAAGCAAAGUGGAACUCAGGGGCUGAACAUAUGCGGGUACAAUAGAUUUCAUGGUGGAUAUGAAAUGCGUAAGCUAUGUUCCAGCACAAAAAGAUAAGUCUCUAAAGCUUGUUGGAGUAAAAGGUAUUGACAUUGAGCUGAGUAGUCCAGUUGGAAGAGUUCAAAGGUCUACAAGAAAACUAUGCUAUUGUCGAGUUCGAAGGUUCUGU
RNAcentral lists this long non-coding RNA (347 nucleotides) under Elaeis guineensis (African oil palm). RNAcentral's name for it is "long non-coding RNA (EGUI_LNC010918)". The record is from RNAcentral. Lineage: Eukaryota; Viridiplantae; Streptophyta; Magnoliopsida; Arecales; Arecaceae.